RNAcentral lists this ribosomal RNA (275 nucleotides) under uncultured prokaryote. RNAcentral describes it as "partial 16S ribosomal RNA". It matches the Rfam family "Bacterial small subunit ribosomal RNA", at positions 524 to 798 of the family's 1533-position model. The record is from RNAcentral.
UACGUAGGGGGCAAGCGUUAUCCGGAUUUACUGGGUGUAAAGGGAGCGCAGACGGCAGUGCAAGUCUGAUGUGAAAGCCCGGGGCUCAACCCCGGAACUGCAUUGGAAACUGUACAGCUUGAGUGUCGGAGAGGUAAGCGGAAUUCCUAGUGUAGCGGUGAAAUGCGUAGAUAUUAGGAGGAACACCGGUGGCGAAGGCGGCUUACUGGACGAUGACUGACGUUGAGGCUCGAAAGCGUGGGGAGCAAACAGGAUUAGAUACCCCCGUAGUCCCU